This 516-nucleotide long non-coding RNA is filed under the name Eucalyptus grandis. Its description in RNAcentral is "long non-coding RNA (EGRA_LNC006457)". Lineage: Eukaryota; Viridiplantae; Streptophyta; Magnoliopsida; Myrtales; Myrtaceae. The record is from RNAcentral.
UUUUUUUUGCGCAUAUAUGUCGAUUGUAAAAAUGAAUCUAGCAAAAAUACUUAAAACAUUGCUAAAAUAAGACCUGGCAACAAGGCGGAGGCUCUCGACGUCAGGCCCGUAGACGGUGGUUGCCUUGAUAAGGCGGAGCUUGGCGGUCAACGCCGUUCCCGACACGUCGACGGUCACUGACCCGACCGUGUAUCCAUACCCAACGACGCCGGGCGUCCCCUCGCCUUCUCCGACCGACGCGUGGACGUCCGACGUAGACGACAGCAGGUACAAGAAGAUCAACAACGCCAAGAGAGGUAGAAGAAGACAGCGAUGAUGGUCUCUGCUACUCCGCAUGUUUUCAGCUAGAUAGAUAGAGAGAGAGAGAGAGAGAGAGAGAGAGAGAGAGAGUGGGAGGAGCUUCGAUUUUCAUCUGCCGCCCGCGGUGGACUUCCCACGGUUUGUCUGCCAUUCCCGUCCACGUCAGGAUAACUUUCUUGACGGGGAUAAAGGAAGAUAGCGAUAAGGUAAGUUUCU